CAGAGGGGGCAAGCGCUGUUCGGAAUUACUGGGCGUAAAGGGCGCGUAGGCGGCCUGCUAAGUCGAACGUGAAAUCCCCGGGCUCAACCCGGGAACUGCGUCCGAGACUGACAGGCUUGAACCCGGGAGAGGGAUGUGGAAUCCCAGGUGUAGCGGUGAAAUGCGUAGAUAUCUGGAGGAACAUCGGUGGCGAAGGCGGCAUCCUGGACCGGUAUUGACGCUGAGGCGCGAAAGCCAGGGGAGCAAACGGGAUUAGAUACCCCGGUAGUCCUGGCCCUAAACGAUGAAUGCUUGGUGUGGUGGGUAUCGAUCCCCGCCGUGCCGAAGCUAACGCAUUAAGCAUUCCGCCUGGGGAGUACGGUCGCAAGGCUG
RNAcentral lists this ribosomal RNA (372 nucleotides) under uncultured organism. RNAcentral describes it as "bacterial SSU rRNA". It matches the Rfam family "Bacterial small subunit ribosomal RNA", at positions 526 to 896 of the family's 1533-position model. The record is from RNAcentral.